This 414-nucleotide long non-coding RNA is filed under the name Theobroma cacao (cacao). RNAcentral's name for it is "long non-coding RNA (TCAC_LNC002544)". Lineage: Eukaryota; Viridiplantae; Streptophyta; Magnoliopsida; Malvales; Malvaceae. The record is from RNAcentral.
UCAUUUCUAGUACAUAAAUUUGAUCAAAAUGGACCUUUUGUUUUUACCUUCUUCUUAAAUGGCAUUUAUCGUUAGGGUAUUUGUUCUAUCGAAACGAGUGAUUUUGUUUUAUCUAAGAACUAUAUUAUUGGUCCUUCACAUAGCUUCCACUAAGGUAGCAAAGGUUGGAAGAGGUAGAUUCUCCAAGAAUUGUUUAUACUCAUCAAACAUCCCUUGAAUGCACAUAUUUACCAACUUUUUCCUAUCAUAAAGCUCCUGUAUGUCUAAUACCUUCUUUCUAAAGUGUUGGAUAUACUCCAUGAGAUUUUCCCUAGAUUUUUGGAACUCUCUUCCAAGAUCAAUGAGAGUAACUUUCUCUUGAGUAAAGAAUAAUCUCUUCCUAAACAUCCUACACAUUUGAUUCCAAGACUUAAU